CCAGACUCCUACGGGAGGCAGCAGUGGGGAAUAUUGCACAAUGGGGGAAACCCUGAUGCAGCGACGCCGCGUGAAGGACGAAGUAUUUCGGUACGUAAACUUCUAUCAGCAGGGAAGAAAAUGACGGUACCUGACCAAGAAGCCCCGGCUAACUACGUGCCAGCAGCCGCGGUAAUACGUAGGGGGCAAGCGUUAUCCGGAUUUACUGGGUGUAAAGGGAGCGUAGACGGCCAUGCAAGUCUGAUGUGAAAACCCGGGGCUCAACCCCGGGACUGCAUUGGAAACUGUGCGGCUGGAGUGUCGGAGAGGCAAGUGGAAUUCCUAGUGUAGCGGUGAAAUGCGUAGAUAUUAGGAGGAACACCGGUGGCGAAGGCGGCUUACUGGACUGUAACUGACGUUGAGGCUCGAAAGCGUGGGGAGCAAACAGGAUUAGAUACCCCAGUA
Molecule: ribosomal RNA, 444 nt
Filed under: uncultured bacterium
Lineage: Bacteria
Description: bacterial SSU rRNA
Rfam family: Bacterial small subunit ribosomal RNA
Source: RNAcentral